GUCAAAUCUCGCAUUCUGCUAGUGUUGACCUUUGGUCAUUAAAAAUUCAAUAUCUGGACUUGCAGAAGUCCAAUUGAUGCAAACUCAAUUGUUUUGGAUUCCUGACUCAAAGGCCUACAAACGCUCCAAAUUGCAGCCAAAAAAGAUUUCAUAUGAGGGAGAUAUGAUUUUUCAAAGAUGAAAACUGAAUUCUGCCAGCAAACAGGUUUCGUGAAGAAACGAAUCCAUAUUACAUCCCGAAGCAUCCAAACCGACAUCCAAGUUUUUAUUUCAGCAAUUUAGCUCCUCUAGUAAAUCAAUCCAGAAUGUCAAGGAAGGCAGCCACCAACCUCAAACCACCACCCAC
This 346-nucleotide long non-coding RNA is filed under the name Populus trichocarpa (black cottonwood). Its description in RNAcentral is "long non-coding RNA (PTRI_LNC001210)". Lineage: Eukaryota; Viridiplantae; Streptophyta; Magnoliopsida; Malpighiales; Salicaceae. The record is from RNAcentral.